GACGAACGCUGGCGGCGUGCUUAACACAUGCAAGUCGAGCGGUAAGGCCCUUUCGGGGGUACACGAGCGGCGAACGGGUGAGUAACACGUGGGUGACCUGCCCUCAGCUCUGGGACAAGCCUGGGAAACUGGGUCUAAUACUGGAUAUGACUCCACGGUGCAUGUCGUGGGGUGGAAAGCCUUGUGCGGCUGAGGAUGGGCCCGCGGCCUAUCAGCUUGUUGGUGGGGUGANGGCCUACCAAGGCGACGACGGGUAGCCGGCCUGAGAGGGCGACCGGCCACACUGGGACUGAGACACGGCCCAGACUCCUACGGGAGGCAGCAGUGGGGAAUCUUGCGCAAUGGGCGAAAGCCUGACGCAGCGACGCCGCGUGAGGGAUGACGGCCU
RNAcentral lists this ribosomal RNA (388 nucleotides) under uncultured bacterium. Its description in RNAcentral is "bacterial SSU rRNA". It matches the Rfam family "Bacterial small subunit ribosomal RNA", at positions 28 to 417 of the family's 1533-position model. The record is from RNAcentral.